Sinocyclocheilus grahami is the source of this 861-nucleotide non-coding RNA. Lineage: Eukaryota; Metazoa; Chordata; Actinopteri; Cypriniformes; Cyprinidae. The record is from the annotation of a RefSeq genome assembly.
CUACUAUGUCUCUGAACGAGUACAUAUAAACAACAAAAAGUACUUUGAAAGGCAGACAUGGUUACAGUGUUUAAUAAGGUCACAGAAGAUGUAAAUGUAACCUUUAGAGGGCACCCUAUGCAAACCUACUUCUCCUCGUCCUCUUUAAAAAGCUUCCACUCUAUUCAUCUCCAGACACAAAACUUGUUUGUGACUUUGAUGCAUCAGCUUGCUCUUUUCAUAACAUGGCAAUGGAUAUUGUGCCUAAACUGGGUUUUAUCUUCAUGUUUGCUCUCAUAGAAUUCUGUUGGUGUCAAACGCUGACUGAGUCCGAGUCAGUGGUCAUUAAACCUGGAGGAUCUCACAGACUCACCUGUACAUUCUCUGGAUUUAGUAGUGACCCGUACUUAGCUUGGAUCAGACAGACUGCAGGAGGAGGUCUGGAGUGGCUGGCAUACAUCUCAGAUGGCAGUGUUUCUAAAUAUUACUCUCAGUCUGUUCAGGGACGCUUCACCAUCUCCAGAGACAACAGCAAGAAACAAAUGUAUCUGCAGAUGAAUAAUAUGAAGAAUGAAGACACUGCUGUAUAUUAUUGUGCAAGAUAGACACUGUGAUGAAUACAGCUACAGCACUGCACAAAAUCUGAAAACAACCAUAUAAACAACUCACUAUAUAAAACAUCAGUGAAUAAAUUAAACUAAUUAGAUUUUUGCUUACACAAUGCUAUCAAAUAUCUGCAGGAGAAUUUGCAUGGAGGCACGAGUCAUAUGUACUAAUUUAAUGAUGCAUUUAGUGAAGCUCUGCUGGUCAUUAUUUACUUUUGUUGAGAGCAACAUGAAUGCCCCAUACAACAGAAAUACAAGGUGAUUAUUAUUAUCUUAG